RNAcentral lists this ribosomal RNA (321 nucleotides) under Platymantis naomii. RNAcentral describes it as "partial 12S ribosomal RNA". It matches the Rfam family "Bacterial small subunit ribosomal RNA", at positions 893 to 1384 of the family's 1533-position model. The record is from RNAcentral. Lineage: Eukaryota; Metazoa; Chordata; Amphibia; Anura; Ceratobatrachidae.
CUUAAAACCCAAAGGACUUGACGGUGCCCCAUCCGACUAGAGGAGCCUGUUCUAUAAUUGAUAAUCCCCACUUUACCUCACCACUACUAGCCUUUCAGCCUGUAUACCUCCGUCGCAAGCCCACCGCAUGAGCGCCAGACAGUGAGCUCAAUGAACCCCCUUCAACACGUCAGGUCAAGGUGCAGCCCAUGUAGUGGAAAGCAAUUGGCUACAAUUUCUAUCUUAGAAUAAACGAAAAGCUGCAUGAAACUGCUGCUUGAAGGCGGAUUUAGAAGUAAGAAGAAAAUAGAGAGUUCUUCUUAAACUGGACCUGGGUCGCGU